GUGGGGAAUCUUGCGCAAUGGGCGAAAGCCUGACGCAGCCAUGCCGCGUGAAUGAUGAAGGUCUUAGGAUUGUAAAAUUCUUUCACCGGGGACGAUAAUGACGGUACCCGGAGAAGAAGCUCCGGCUAACUUCGUGCCAGCAGCCGCGGUAAUACGAAGGGGGCUAGCGUUGCUCGGAAUUACUGGGCGUAAAGGGCGCGUAGGCGGACAGCUUAGUCAGAGGUGAAAGCCCAGGGCUCAACCUUGGAAUUGCCUUUGAUACUGGCUGUCUUGAGUUUGGGAGAGGUGAGUGGAACUCCGAGUGUAGAGGUGAAAUUCGUAGAUAUUCGGAAGAACACCAGUGGCGAAGGCGACUCACUGGCCCGUUACUGACGCUGAGGCGCGAAAGCGUGGGGAGCAAACAGGAUUAGAAACCCCUGUAGUCC
RNAcentral lists this ribosomal RNA (425 nucleotides) under uncultured bacterium. RNAcentral describes it as "bacterial SSU rRNA". It matches the Rfam family "Bacterial small subunit ribosomal RNA", at positions 354 to 796 of the family's 1533-position model. The record is from RNAcentral.